AGAGCGAACGCUGGCGGCAGGCCUAACACAUGCAAGUCGAGCGCCCGUAGCAAUACGGGAGCGGCAGACGGGAUAGUAACACGUGGGAACGCGCCCUUCGGUUCGGAAUAACUCAGGGAAACUUGAGCUAAUACCGGAUACGCCCUUACGGGGAAAGAUUUAUUGCCGAAGGAACGGCCCGCGUCCGAUUAGCUAGUUGGUGAGGUAAUGGCUCACCAAGGCGACGAUCGGUAGCUGGUCUGAGAGGAUGACCAGCAUCACUGGGACUGAGACACGGCCCAGACUCCUACGGGAGGCAGCAGUGGGGAAUAUGGACAAUGGGCGCAAGCCUGAUCCAGCCAUGCCGCGUGGAUGAUGAAGGCCUUAGGGUUGUAAAGUCCGUUUAACGGGAAGAUAAUGACGGUACCCGUAGAAUAGCCCGGCUAACUUCGCGCCAGCAGCCGC
Molecule: ribosomal RNA, 444 nt
Filed under: uncultured bacterium
Lineage: Bacteria
Description: SSU rRNA
Rfam family: Bacterial small subunit ribosomal RNA
Source: RNAcentral